This 1357-nucleotide ribosomal RNA is filed under the name uncultured bacterium. RNAcentral's name for it is "bacterial SSU rRNA". It matches the Rfam family "Bacterial small subunit ribosomal RNA", at positions 28 to 1381 of the family's 1533-position model. The record is from RNAcentral.
AUUGAACGCUGGCGGCAGGCUUAACACAUGCAAGUCGAGCGGUAACAGGAGAAGCUUGCUUCUCGCCGACGAGCGGCGGACGGGUGAGUAAUACUUAGGAAUCUGCCCAGUAGUGGGGGAUAGCUCGGGGAAACUCGAAUUAAUACCGCAUACACCCUACGGGGAAAAGGGGGCACUUGUGCUCUCGCUAUUGGAUGAGCCUAAGUCGGAUUAGCUAGUUGGUGGGGUAAAGGCCUACCAAGGCGACGAUCUGUAGCUGGUCUGAGAGGAUGAUCAGCCACACCGGGACUGAGACACGGCCCGGACUCCUACGGGAGGCAGCAGUGGGGAAUAUUGGACAAUGGGGGCAACCCUGAUCCAGCCAUGCCGCGUGUGUGAAGAAGGCCUUUUGGUUGUAAAGCACUUUAAGCAGUGAAGAAGACUCUAUGGUUAAUACCCAUAGACGAUGACAUUAGCUGCAGAAUAAGCACCGGCUAACUCUGUGCCAGCAGCCGCGGUAAUACAGAGGGUGCAAGCGUUAAUCGGAAUUACUGGGCGUAAAGCGAGCGUAGGUGGCUUGAUAAGUCAGAUGUGAAAUCCCCGGGCUUAACCUGGGAACUGCAUCUGAUACUGUUAGGCUAGAGUAGGUGAGAGGGAGGUAGAAUUUCAGGUGUAGCGGUGAAAUGCGUAGAGAUCUGAAGGAAUACCGAUGGCGAAGGCAGCCUCCUGGCAUCAUACUGACACUGAGGUUCGAAAGCGUGGGUAGCAAACAGGAUUAGAUACCCUGGUAGUCCACGCCGUAAACGAUGUCUACUAGUCGUUGGGGAACUUGAUUCCUUAGUGACGCAGCUAACGCAAUAAGUAGACCGCCUGGGGAGUACGGCCGCAAGGUUAAAACUCAAAUGAAUUGACGGGGGCCCGCACAAGCGGUGGAGCAUGUGGUUUAAUUCGAUGCAACGCGAAGAACCUUACCUGGUCUUGACAUAUCUAGAAUCCUGCAGAGAUGCGGGAGUGCCUUCGGGAAUUAGAAUACAGGUGCUGCAUGGCUGUCGUCAGCUCGUGUCGUGAGAUGUUGGGUUAAGUCCCGCAACGAGCGCAACCCUUUUCCUUAGUUACCAGCGGUUUGGCCGGGGACUCUAAGGAUACUGCCAGUGACAAACUGGAGGAAGGCGGGGACGACGUCAAGUCAUCAUGGCCCUUACGACCAGGGCUACACACGUGCUACAAUGGUAGGUACAGAGGGCAGCUACACAGCGAUGUGAUGCGAAUCUCAAAAAGCCUAUCGUAGUCCAGAUUGGAGUCUGCAACUCGACUCCAUGAAGUCGGAAUCGCUAGUAAUCGCGGAUCAGAAUGCCGCGGUGAAUACGUUCCCGGGCCU